Molecule: non-coding RNA, 265 nt
Organism: Desulfuromonadales bacterium C00003093
Lineage: Bacteria; Pseudomonadati; Thermodesulfobacteriota; Desulfuromonadia; Desulfuromonadales
Source: Rfam
CAAGUCCCAUCUAACUAAAGUUUAGCCAACAGGUUAGUAGUGAAGUCUGCGGGCAAAGCCAGAACGGGAGACCGGAAUGGAAGUCCGAAGCCAGAUGAAUCAAGGAUGCAGGCUCUGUAUUGAGCCCCGAAAAAUGUAUAGUUGUGGACAUUGGAUAAGCUUCCGAGAAAUCGGUAGCAAAAGCCGACGCUUUGUACUGAGCGGAAGGCAGCAGUCCUGAAUACGCUAUGGCAAGUAUUCAGGACACCACCGGGGUCUGAGACCA